This 734-nucleotide ribosomal RNA is filed under the name uncultured bacterium. RNAcentral describes it as "bacterial SSU rRNA". It matches the Rfam family "Bacterial small subunit ribosomal RNA", at positions 9 to 739 of the family's 1533-position model. The record is from RNAcentral.
GAGUUUGAACCUGGCUCAGGAUGAACGCUGGCGGCGUGCUUAACACAUGCAAGUCGAACGGAAAUGUCACGCUGAUGCGAUUUCGGUCAAAUCUUGUGGCAUUUUAGUGGCGGACGGGUGAGUAACGCGUGGGUAACCUGCCUCACACUGGGGGAUAACACUUAGAAAUAGGUGCUAAUACCGCAUAAGCGCACGGGACUGCAUGGUCUUGUGUGAAAAACUCCGGUGGUGUGAGAUGGACCCGCGUCUGAUUAGCUGGUUGGCGGGGUAACGGCCCACCAAGGCGACGAUCAGUAGCCGGCCUGAGAGGGUGGACGGCCACAUUGGGACUGAGACACGGCCCAAACUCCUACGGGAGGCAGCAGUGGGGGAUAUUGGACAAUGGGGGGAACCCUGAUCCAGCGACGCCGCGUGAGUGGAGAAGUAUUUCGGUAUGUAAAGCUCUGUCAGCAGGGAAGAAACCAUGACGGUACCUGACCAAGAAGCCCCGGCUAACUACGUGCCAGCAGCCGCGGUAAUACGUAGGGGGCAAGCGUUAUCCGGAAUUACUGGGUGUAAAGGGAGCGUAGACGGUUAAGUAAGUCUGGAGUGAAAGGCUGGGGCCCAACCCCGGGACUGCUCUGGAAACUAUUUAACUUGAGUGCAGGAGAGGUAAGCGGAAUUCCUAGUGUAGCGGUGAAAUGCGUAGAUAUUAGGAGGAACACCAGUGGCGAAGGCGGCUUACUGGACUGUAA